RNAcentral lists this ribosomal RNA (500 nucleotides) under uncultured bacterium. Its description in RNAcentral is "partial 16S ribosomal RNA". It matches the Rfam family "Bacterial small subunit ribosomal RNA", at positions 30 to 523 of the family's 1533-position model. The record is from RNAcentral.
AUUGAACGCCGGCGGAAUGCUUUACACAUGCAAGUCGAACGGCAGCACGGGGGCAACCCUGGUGGCGAGUGGCGAACGGGUGAGUAAUACAUCGGAACGUGCCCAGUCGUGGGGGAUAACGUAGCGAAAGUUACGCUAAUACCGCAUACGAUCUACGGAUGAAAGCGGGGGACCGUAAGGCCUCGCGCGAUUGGAGCGGCCGAUGUCAGAUUAGGUAGUUGGUGAGGUAAAGGCUCACCAAGCCGACGAUCUGUAGCUGGUCUGAGAGGACGACCGGCCACACUGGGACUGAGACACGGCCCAGACUCCUGCGGGAGGCAGCAGUGGGGAAUUUUGGACAAUGGGCACAAGCCUGAUCCAGCCAUUCCGCGUGCAGGACGAAGGCCUUCGGGUUGUAAACUGCUUUUGUACGGAACGAAAAGGCUCUGGUUAAUACCUGGGGCUCAUGACGGUACCGUAAGAAUAAGCACCGGCUAACUACGUGCCAGCAGCCGCCGUAA